RNAcentral lists this ribosomal RNA (306 nucleotides) under Triticum aestivum (bread wheat). Its description in RNAcentral is "partial small subunit ribosomal RNA". Lineage: Eukaryota; Viridiplantae; Streptophyta; Magnoliopsida; Poales; Poaceae. The record is from RNAcentral.
AUGGCGAACCGCAGAGAUGCUCAAGCCUCGGGGGACAAAGGGAAGGCAAAACUGGAGGAGCUAAUGAAGGAGUUGGCCCUUAAGGAAGAUGACCUUGAUGAUGUGGUUUUCGAUGAUGAUGAUGCCCCGGCGGAGGAAGAACUCCGUUGGAUGAUCUUGGUCAGAGUUCAUAUGGACAAGGAGUUUAGCACCUGCUGGUUUUUCCGCAACAUGAGGACGGCCUGGGACCUUGCUAGGCCGGUCAAAAUGAAAACCCUAGAGGAGAAUCUCUUCCAGAUGCAGUUUGAUUGUUUGGGUGAUUGGGAG